CCAACUGACUCAGUCUGGAACUGAAAGGAAGGAAGGAAGAUGUGUAGCUGAGACUCCCUGAACAAACCAUCCAUCAAGCAACUGGCCUUUGAGGAUCAACUGGCUGAGGGUGAGAGGAAAAUCUCCAGUCUUCCUGGUGGACAGAUUGACUAGGGAAAAGACCUCUACCUUACUGGGACCAUCUGAGGAUACCACAACUGGGAUCUCUGAUACCUGACCAACCAUUGACUCUAAGGAUAAAUCAUUUGUAAAUAAAGCAGAAACAUUGUUUACACAUUCUCCUUCCCCCAGGUUUACAGUAGGAAAAGAACACAAUAUAAUGACUUAGUUGCACCCCCUGCUCUCUUUACUCCAAAGUGAUAUAGAGUAAGGAAUAUAGAGGAAGGUGGCAGCAAGGGAAAUUGAUAGAGGAUGAAUACAAAAGUGUGGUUUGAAGCUAUAAGCAUAACAUCAGAAGUGAGAAAGCACAGAAUGAGCUGAGGCCAUUGACAGGGCUGCCUUGGCAUAUAUCAAAACCAAGACAACAUUUUGGAACCACAAAGGAGAAAGUCAAGAUGUGGAGGGGAUCACUGUGUAUAGAAUUAUAUUUCAUUCAAAACAGGUAAGAAACAAUUCCAAGAAAGAAUAGGUUAGUUAACUGUGUCAGAUUCUGAACAGAAGUCAAGGAAGAUGAUAAAUGAAAACAAUCAUCUUUGGAAUUGGUGAUUAGGAAGUCAUUCAAAAAAGUGAUGUACCUGGGUAGUACCUGGGUAGCUCAGAGAGAACCUGAGUAUCAGGCAUAGAGAUGGGAGGUCCUAGGUUCAAAUCUGGCCUCAGAUACUUCCUAGUUGUGUGACCCUGGGCAAGUCACUUGACCCCCAUUGCCUAGCCCUUACCACCCUUCUGCCUUGGAACCAAUACACAGUAUUGA
Molecule: long non-coding RNA, 910 nt
Filed under: Monodelphis domestica (gray short-tailed opossum)
Lineage: Eukaryota; Metazoa; Chordata; Mammalia; Didelphimorphia; Didelphidae
Description: lncRNA (ENSMODG00000036075.2)
Source: RNAcentral